UUCCGGUUGAUCCUGUCGGACCUGGCUGCUAUCGGAUUGAUACUAAGCCAUGCGAGUCAUUGUAGCAAUACAAGGCAUACGGCUCAGUAACGCGUAGUCAACCUAACCUAUGGACGGGAAUAACCUCGGGAAACUGAGAAUAAUGCCCGAUAGAACACUAUACCUGGAAUGGUUUGUGUUCCAAAUGAUUUAUCGCCGUAGGAUGGGACUGCGGCCUAUCAGUUUGUUGGUGAGGUAAUGGCCCACCAAGACUAUUACAGGUACGGGCUCUGAGAGGAGUAGCCCGGAGAUGGGUACUGAGACACGGACCCAGGCCCUAUGGGGCACAGCAGGCGAGAAAACUUUGCAAUGUGCGAAAGCACGACAAGGUUAAUCCGAGUGAUUUGUGCUAAACGAAUCUUUUGUUAGUCCUAGAACCACUAACGAAUAAGGGGUGGGCAAGUUCUGGUGUCAGCCGCCGCGGUAAAACCAGCACCUCAAGUGGUCAGGAUGAUUAUUGGGCCUAAAGCAUCCGUAGCCGGCUCUGUAAGUUUUCGGUUAAAUCUGUACGCUUAACGUACAGGCUGCCGGGAAUACUGCAGAGCUAGGGAGUGGGAGAGGUAGACGGUACUCGGUAGAAAGGGGUAAAAUCCUUUGAUCUAUUGAUGACCACCUGUGGCGAAGGCGGUCUACCAGAACACGUCCGACGGUGAGGGAUGAAAGCUGGGGGAGCAAACCGGAUUAGAUACCCGGGUAGUCCCAGCUGUAAACUAUGCAAACUCAGUGAUGCAUUGACUUGUGGUCAAUGCAGUGCUGCAGG
This 799-nucleotide ribosomal RNA is filed under the name uncultured archaeon. RNAcentral describes it as "bacterial SSU rRNA". It matches the Rfam family "Archaeal small subunit ribosomal RNA", at positions 1 to 807 of the family's 1478-position model. The record is from RNAcentral.